UCUCCUCUCCUCUCCUUUUGUUUCCAGACAUGGCUCUGCCCUUAGUCAAUCUGUAAUCUGGGAGAGUAUUCAUGGAGUAUUUGUGGAAUAGGUGGCAUUUGAGGUAAAGAAAAAUCCCAAACCUUAGUGACUGAGCAGCUGUUUAUGAGCAUAGAGUUUAUGAGCACCCAAGGAAACAAGCUCAAAAAGGAAGUUCAGGGUCAUCGUGCAGAACAACUGAAUGGCAGAUGAACAAGGAAGACCCCUAAAGGAGACCAUGGCUGACCAGUGAGCACUGAGCGGAUUACUCAGCUCCUCAGAGUAUAAGCUACUUAACCCAUGAACCCAGAAUGAUGUGGCAACAAAGAGAUGAAAUAACUGUUCCAGGACUUUGAAGGUCCUCGUUUCUACUUUGAACACCCAAUUAUCAUAAAGCCAGCAAGAGAUGCACUGUUGGCUGCCCCCAAAUUUUUCUCCCUAUUUUGAGAGAGAAUGGUCUAAAAUGCUGUACUUUCCUAGAAAAGUAUAGCCACUGUUAGGGGUGAGAACCCCAGGGGAAAGGCUGUGGGGAGGGGGCAAAUACCAUGUUUGUGCAGCUGUCCGCCGCUGUUAAUUACCUCCUGGGUAAUAAAAGAAUGUCAGAAUGCUCUUUCUCUGACAUUGGUAAUCAGUGGAAUAGGCAUGGCUAGCAAAACACCCUGGGGAGUUGGUGGUGAUAUGGACAGCAGUUGAAUAAGUGGGGAAAACAAGAGUGAAAUACCCGCAUCAGAAGGAAAAGGCGAAAGCAUGGGCAGAGAGCAGUUUGGCUCUGAGGGAAUCGAAGGAAUGUUAGCUGUUUUAAGUCAAUGCUUCAUCAACGGAGACAACACAUGGAUCAAACCUUAAAUUACCAUAUAAGUGCCAGUGAUUGUUGAUGUUGUUAUUGCGAGAGAUCCCCAGGAGUUUCUGAGCAAAAGCUCCACACACAGAGCCUCUGCAAACACAGAUUUGCCCCUAGAGUGAGCCCUGAUUUGUGGAUCCAAGGAGGCGAUGAAGAAUGAGGUCACCUUUCAGGGUAGUCACGCCUAGCCCUGGAGUCCAUCCAGUGAGCUUGGGUGUAUGCUGAGUCCUGGUGUUGGCUGUUAGUGAUGGCAACAUCUGCAAAGGCAGCCAACUUCCCCAACUGGAGAACCCAGCCUCUGUACGCAUCUCCCGGGGGCCCAGACAAAAUCAAGUUGUUCGCUGUGCGCCAGCAGCAGCCCCUUUGUUCCCAGGAAGACAGGCCGAGGGGUGGCUGGGUUGCCAAGAACACAGGUGGAGCACACUGGGAAGAGGAGGGGGAAAGAAGCCCAUC
Non-coding RNA from Phascolarctos cinereus (koala), 1312 nucleotides. Lineage: Eukaryota; Metazoa; Chordata; Mammalia; Diprotodontia; Phascolarctidae. The record is from RefSeq and is a predicted model, not a curated record.